ACGGAAGGCAGCAGUGAGGAAUAUUGGUCAAUGGGCGGAAGCCUGAACCAGCCAAGUCGCGUGAAGGAUGAAGGUAUUAUGUAUUGUAAACUUCUUUAGACGCAGAGAAAUAAGGGGCUCGUGAGCUUUGAUGCUAGUAUGCGUAGAAUAAGGAUCGGCUAACUCCGUGCCAGCAGCCGCGGUAAUACGGAGGAUCCGAGCGUUAUCCGGAUUUAUUGGGUUUAAAGGGUGCGUAGGCGGGAAGUCAAGCCAGCCGUAAAAUCGCCGGGCUCAACCCGGUCCCGCGGUUGAAACUGUCUUCCUUGAGUACACUAGAGGGCGAUGGAAUUCGUGGUGUAGCGGUGAAAUGCAUAGAUAUCACGAAGAACUCCGAUUGCGUAGGCAGUCGCCUGGGGUGCCACUGACGCUGAGGCACGAAGGUGCGGGUAUCAAACAGGAUUAGAUACCCUGGUA
This 453-nucleotide ribosomal RNA is filed under the name uncultured Bacteroides sp. Its description in RNAcentral is "partial 16S ribosomal RNA". It matches the Rfam family "Bacterial small subunit ribosomal RNA", at positions 341 to 792 of the family's 1533-position model. The record is from RNAcentral. Lineage: Bacteria; Pseudomonadati; Bacteroidota; Bacteroidia; Bacteroidales; Bacteroidaceae.